This 452-nucleotide ribosomal RNA is filed under the name uncultured bacterium. RNAcentral describes it as "bacterial SSU rRNA". It matches the Rfam family "Bacterial small subunit ribosomal RNA", at positions 29 to 526 of the family's 1533-position model. The record is from RNAcentral.
AACGAACGCUGGCGGCAGGCCUAACACAUGCAAGUCGAACGCUCCAGCAAUGGAGAGUGGCAGACGGGUGAGUAACGCGUGGGAACCUUCCCUAUGGUUCGGAAUAGCCCAGGGAAACUUGGGGUAAUACCGGAUAAGCCCUUCGGGGGAAAGAUUUAUCGCCAUUGGAUGGGCCCGCGUCGGAUUAGCUAGUUGGUGAGGUAACGGCUCACCAAGGCGACGAUCCGUAGCUGGUCUGAGAGGAUGAUCAGCCACACUGGGACUGAGACACGGCCCAGACUCCUACGGGAGGCAGCAGUGGGGAAUAUUGGACAAUGGGCGCAACCCUGAUCUAGCCAUGCCGCGUGAGUGAUGAAGGCCUUAGGGUUGUAAAGCUCUUUCAGCUGGGAAGAUAAUGACGGUACCAGCAGAAGAAGCCCCGGCUAACUCCGUGCCAGCCGCCGCUGUAAAAC